CUCGGCUCUCGCAUCGAUGAAGAACGUAGCGAAAUGCGAUACUUGGUGUGAAUUGCAGAAUCCCGUGAACCAUCGAGUCUUUGAACGCAAGUUGCGCCCCAAGCCUUCAGGCCGAGGGCACGUCUGCCUGGGUGUCACAAAUCGUCGUCCCAUCCUCUACGGA
Molecule: ribosomal RNA, 163 nt
Filed under: Tomostima reptans
Lineage: Eukaryota; Viridiplantae; Streptophyta; Magnoliopsida; Brassicales; Brassicaceae
Description: Draba reptans 5.8S ribosomal RNA
Rfam family: 5.8S ribosomal RNA (bases 1-137)
About the family: 5.8S ribosomal RNA (5.8S rRNA) is a component of the large subunit of the eukaryotic ribosome. It is transcribed by RNA polymerase I as part of the 45S precursor that also contains 18S and 28S rRNA. Functionally, it is thought that 5.8S rRNA may be involved in ribosome translocation.
Source: RNAcentral